GUUGGUGGAGCAAGAGAUAUCUGGGUUUCAUCAAAUCUGGUAGCUGGACCGAGGCAAGAGAUGUAGCUUGAGAUGUGAGCUCCUGUGCUUUCUCCUGGGCAGCCCAGCACAGAGCUACAAUGUCUGCCGCCUCCUUCGCAGGUACUGAAUAGAAUUUGUCAAGAGGAAAACAAGAAAAUUUUGUGAGAAACAGAACAAAGGAAAUUACAGAAGGUUUUGUAUUUUCUCAAGAAAUUAAUUGUCUACAGCUGGACUAUACAGAGCUUGUACACUGAUCACAUGUAGAGAAGGAAAGAUAAGCCACUGAACUGAGGGUUUACUAAAAACCCACACAUGGAAAAAUUCCCUACCAAGCAUCAUGUGGAAGUUAUAUGAAUGCUGCAUUGCACGCAACAUCUCAUAAGAAGCAAGUUUUAUCAAAUGAUUACUUGACUUUAUUCAAUUGGGGUUCUGCCAGUGCACGAAGAAACCACAAUCCAGCCUUUUCCCUUAAUUCCUAGUACUUUGAGGUCUACAAGAAGCCAAAUAAUGUGAACAAUGUCCUUGAAAAUACACUCUUUUUUUGUUCAGUCUCUGCCAGUAUACUUCAUUUUCAGCCAUUCUGGAAGUGCCUUAAUCUUUGGCUGCAAACUCACUUGGCCUGACAUUCGGCAAUGCAUUAUAGACCAGAUGGAUUUAGGGAACUGGACUGAUUGGAUUAAUUAUAUUAAAGGGAGAGGAAGAGGGAAAUAAAAGGAAAUUAUUUCUUCCUCUACUUCCUAAAAUAAAUAAAUAACUAGAACUAAUUCAUUUGAAAGAGUUUCCAGGGUGUGUGUCUAUGUACUUAUACUGUAAAACACAGCCUUGUGGAUGCAGCCCAGCAGUGGCUGGGGAUCCAGCCACCGUCUGCAGGGCAGCACACCGUUUGUUGUCCAAAUUACACGCUGGUCUACUAGUAUUUUCCUGAGAGCUGUGAAAAUAACAGACAUAAAAAGCCUUACAGAAUAUAGGCAUCAAAAGAUACUACUGAAAAUGAAAAUAGGCAUAAAUUCAUCUCUGUGGUACGAACCUGACCAGAUUCUCGUGAUGCUGAAGCACAGAUGCUUUGGACACAUUUUGAUGUCCUAAGGCUAACUGUAAGUUGUUCAACUUUUGCCCCACUACAUCCCCUGACACUGGAUAAUGCAGUAGAGACAGACUGCUUCUUAUGGGUGAGGGAACACGUGAGGGGAAUGGGACUUUCUUUUCCCCUUGAAGAGGAGAGGCAUGUCUGGGGGACAGCCAGCACCCAGCAAGGAACGGAUUUACCCCCAUAAUCCUGUUCUCAUAGUAAGGUCUAUAUUCCACGUGCCUCAGCACUGGCAUAAUGAGCACACCCUAGUUCAGACCUACAAAUUUAGCUCCCUUUUUAUACAUCUGCUUUGUUUGUAAGAGCUCACACUGAACAGCUAUAACCAGUUCUGUUGGCUGAGAGGUCUAUACCUGAGUUACAGCAGGGCAGACUGACGGACGACCGGAUUCAUCCCAGAAACCUGGCUGGUGGUGGAUGUGGGUCAGUGACCUACAACCUCGUUACAGGGAGAGCUGACACACCAUGUGUAACCAGCACUCCGGAUAACUCCUGCACUUAGGAAGUUUAUCUUCACAGUAUCUGCAAUUAGUCUAAAGUAUCUACUUGUCUUCUUAAAAUAUCCAUAAGAAUUAAGAAUUUUUAGAGCAAACCUACUAAACAUGGUAUUUUUUUUUGGUAGGGGCUAGAUGCUCUGCCUCAGUGACGGUUGCAAUUCUACAUUUUCUCAAGGAUGUAGCGUGUGAAAAGUCAUUUCUAUAAGCUAUGUGUAUUUAUUCUUUCACUGCUGGAGAAGCAGCAGCAUAUGGAAAACUGCAGCCUGGCUGACUUAACAGGUCACAAAGACACAGAAUAAAGGCAUAUUUUCUGCCUUUGAAUAUUUUGCCCAAACCACUGGUUGCUAUUACCUUAAAAUACCAGCUCUGAAAUCAAAAGCUGUGCUUUGCAUUCAGAUAAGGAGAAACACUAGAUUUCCUUCAUCUGACUUCUAAAAUGUGCUACAUAUUUCAACAUUCAGCCUUUCAGACAAAUAAAAUAAGUAUAGCAUACCAUACUCUUGGAUAUUAACACCUCUUACUACUUACACAAUUCCUCUGCAACUAGACCUUCUGUAGGACCAUUGCCAUGUACACCUAUUCCUUUCCACACAGCAUUUAAUAAUCUGUGUAUUAAUAUAGAAGCUAAAGAAUAACUCUUAUAGCUGAAGUAAGCAAUGAUGUCUUUGUGUCAUGUUUUUUUAAGAACAAGAUGAAUCAUCGCACAAGCACAAAGGGGUGUCAGCAGUGUAAGAUGCCCUAACACAGACCCUGGAAACUCUUAAGUAAAUAUGCCACCUAGUGUUUAAUUGGGACAAUUUCAUUCAUAAAUCAUCUCAACCAAUUCCCCCCAAGCUUUUCCCUGCAAGUCUAGGUGGUAUAGAGUCUGGCAGAAGUAUCUGGAGAUGCCUCCUUCACCUUUGCCCUCUCCC
Molecule: long non-coding RNA, 2516 nt
Organism: Columba livia (rock pigeon)
Lineage: Eukaryota; Metazoa; Chordata; Aves; Columbiformes; Columbidae
Exons: 2
Source: RefSeq, a predicted model, not a curated record